AUACUUACUUGGCAGGGGAGACACCAUGAUCAUGAAGAUGGUUUUCCUUUGCACUCCAGCUGUGCUGAGCCCUGCAAUUUCCCCAAAUGCGGGAAACUCUGCUGCAUAAUUUGUGGCAGUGGGGGGCUGCGUUCGCACUUUCCCCUA
RNAcentral lists this small nuclear RNA (147 nucleotides) under Salvator merianae (Argentine black and white tegu). Its description in RNAcentral is "U1 spliceosomal RNA (ENSSMRG00000007294.1)". It matches the Rfam family "U1 spliceosomal RNA". Rfam says of the family: U1 is a small nuclear RNA (snRNA) component of the spliceosome (involved in pre-mRNA splicing). The record is from Rfam by way of RNAcentral. Lineage: Eukaryota; Metazoa; Chordata; Lepidosauria; Squamata; Teiidae.